GAUGAAGAACGUAGCGAAAUGCGAUAAGUAAUGUGAAUUGCAGAAUUCAGUGAAUCAUCGAUUCUUUGAACGCACAUUGCGCCCGCCAGUAUUCUGGCGGGCAUGCCUGUCCGAGCGUCAUUUCAACCAUCAAGCCCCGGGCUUGUGUUGGGGACCUGCGUCCGACGCAGGCCCUGAAAACCAGUGGCGGGCUCGCUGUCCACACCGAGCGUAGUAACUAACCUCGCUAUGGAGUGGCGCGGGCGCCUGCCGUAAAACCCCCAAUUUUUACAAGGUUGACCUCGGAUCAGGUAGGAAUACCCGCUGAACUUAAGCAUAUCAAAAGCGGAGGA
This 332-nucleotide unclassified non-coding RNA is filed under the name soil metagenome. Its description in RNAcentral is "partial contains 5.8S ribosomal RNA, internal transcribed spacer 2, and large subunit ribosomal RNA". The stretch from base 1 to 120 matches the Rfam family "5.8S ribosomal RNA", at positions 35 to 154 of the family's 154-position model. The record is from RNAcentral.